UACGUAGGGGGCCAGCGUUGUCCGGAUUCAUUGGGCGUAAAGCGCACGCAGGCGGCUAAGCAAGUCAUCGGUGAAAUCCCUCGGCUCAACCGGGGGGGGUCCGGUGGGACUGCUUGGCUGGAGGUCGGGAGGGGGAAGCGGAAUUCCCGGUGUAGUGGUGGAAUGCGUAGAUAUCGGGAGGAACACCAGUGGCGAAGGCGGCUUCCUGGCCCGAGCCUGACGCUGAGGUGCGAAAGCGUGGGGAGCGAUCCGG
RNAcentral lists this ribosomal RNA (253 nucleotides) under uncultured bacterium. RNAcentral describes it as "partial 16S ribosomal RNA". It matches the Rfam family "Bacterial small subunit ribosomal RNA", at positions 524 to 776 of the family's 1533-position model. The record is from RNAcentral.